CAAAAAUAAAUAAACGUCAAAAAAAAUAAGAAAAAGAAAAAAGACCUGCGACCCAGGGUGGUAGAGGCUGUGGGUCCCUAGAGUGGAUAUGGGAGAGCAUCAUGGGAAGCACAGAAGAGGGAGGUGCACUUCUCAGUCAGAACAGGGCUGCUCUGUGUGAGAGAGACAGUCCAGGAACGGAAACAAGACGCAGCCAUCGGAAUCCCCAACCACCCACAAAACCAGUCUACUCCAUCCGACUGUGGGUGCCUGAGGUCUUCACGACACUCCUUGGGGGAGGCCCCAUUCCUGUCCCCAGCCUGCCUCUUGAGAGAGGGUCACGGGGCAGCCUCGGAUAACUCCUCCGCAAGCACCUGUCCACGGUUGGAUGGAAAAUGUCCACCCAGGGGGCCAGCCACAAAAGGGGGCAGGGGUGGGGGCAGAACCCAGGCCCCCUUUCUUGGUCCAGCGCCCCCACCGCGUUCCAGCCUGAGCUCCCAGCAGGGCCUGCUGCCCCGGAAGGGAAGGGAAGGGGACGGCUUGAGGAUGCAGGUGACUGGAGUGACAGGUGACAGGUGCUUCGGGGAGCCAGCAGCCUCGUGCGUGCCACACCUCUCGCUCUAUUUCCUAGGAAGCCGACAGCCCCGGGCUCUCUCUGCUUCCAAGGCCUUACAGAACCUUCCAGACCAGCCCCAGCCUUCUGCAGCUGAGGACAAGAAGCAGAGCAUCCCGGGUGUCCCAGAUGCCAUUCGGGGUGGCUGGUUAACGCCUUACCCUCCCUGCAGCCAAACCCCCGGCCUCUGGAAGAGACAGCAAAUCAUGAAUUCUAACCCAGGCCACACGCUCAGUGCCCACUUCUACUUGGGGUUAUCUGAGACCCCUCUUCUCCCGCUUUGCGGCUUUCACGGAAAAUAACUACUUUGAACCAAAGCCCUAGCAUCUAGGUGGAGCCCCAAAAGGGCAGGAAGGUACCGCCCCUGGCUUUGGAGGCCAGUGGAGGCCCACAGCACAUCCAUCACAGCCCCGGGGACACAGUGGUUCAAUGGCUGCCCUGGGCCGGCCACGUCAACGCCCGCCCGCACACAAACGUGAAAGACAACACAAGUUCCCAGCAACCCUGCCCGGCGAGCAGGAAGCCCUCAAAACGCCCUGCGUCCAGGUCUCCAGGAUCACAGCAGUCGCUGCUCAUUUUCCACCCACGGCAAAGAAAAAAGCCUUUAACUCUUGGGUUUGCUUUUUCCCAGAAGAGGAAACCGGCUGGGAGAGGCUCACGUGGCCAGGAAGACGUGGGGAGAGUCCUCCUGAUCCAACAUGUAGAGGGUGCCAGGGAGGUGCCUCACCUGUGAGUCCGUCCCAUCACCCCAACGACUGCGGGGACCCCUCUGGACAGGCCUGACUCACCUGUAGCUCUAAAAGCACACCUUCCCCACUGUUGUCGCCCUGGCACCAUAUUAGUGCAUUUGUGACAACGGAUGAGCCCACGCCGACCCAUCAUUAUCCCCCAGAGCCCGCGCUUUCCAUCAAGGCGCCCUACGGUGUGGUGCGGUCUGCGGUUUCGACAAAUGGAGACAGCUAUGGAUCUACCUUUUUGGCGUCACUCGGAGCGUGUCACUGCCCUAAAAAUCCUCUGUGCCCCACCGAUUCAUCCCUCCUGCCCUCCCUGUCUCCUCCUGGCCCCAUAGCUCCUUUCCUUUCAGUGCUGGCUGACCGUCCACGGUCUGGCUGGGCCACGGGUUCAUCCAUUCACCUACUGGCCGAAGAAGAUCCGCGGCGCUUCCGGGUUUUGGCAAUGGUGAAUAAAGCCGCUACAAGCUGUGUCUGUGUGCACACAAGGUUUCUGCGUGGGCCUAAGCUUCCAACUCCUCUGGGGGAAGACCAGGGAGCACGAUUUCUGGAUGGCACGGGAAGGGUAUGUUCAGUUUCGCAGAAACCGCCGAACUGCCUUCCAAAGUGGUCGCAGCAUUCCGCACGCCCACCAGCCGUGAGCCAGAGCUCCUGCUACUCCGGGUCCCCGCCAGCGUCAGGCGUUGUCGGCGCUCUGGAUUCGCGUCCUUCUGGUAGGUGUGGAGCGAUCCCUCGUGGUUGUUUCCAUUGGCAUCUCCCCGGUGACGUACGACGUGGAGCAUCUUUCCAUGUGCUUAUCUGUCAUGUCUGCGAAGGUCGUUGGCCCAUUUUUUUUAAUGUCUAUUUCUUUUGAGAGACAGAGGGAAACAGCAUGUGCGAGUAGGGGAGGAGCAGAGAGAGAGGGAGACAGAGAACCUCAAGCAGGCAGCGCAGAGCCGGGCGCAGGGCUCAAUCCCACAAAUGGUGAGAUCAUGACCUGAGACGAAACCGAGAGUCUGAUGCUCAACCGACUGAGCCACCCAGGCGCCCUGCCCCCCCCUUUUUUUUAAUAUUUAUUUAGUUUUCACAUACACACACACACACACACACACAGAGUGCAGCAGGGGUGGGGCAGAGAGAGAGGGAGACACAGAUUCUGAAGCAGGCUCCAGGCCCUGAGCUGUCAGCACAGAGCCCAACGCGGGGCUCGAACUCAUGGACCUCAAGAUCAUGACCUGAGCUACACUCAGACGCUUAACCGACUGAGCCACUUAGGCGCCCCAGCCGGCCCAUUUUUUAAUCAAGUUGUUGCUUUUGUUAUAGUUGAGUUUAAAGAGUUCUCUGUGUAUUUUGGGUAACAGCCCUUUAUCAUGUGCAUACACUAGAUCCAUCAAGGUCCCAGUAGAAAACAGACUGGACACUCGAGCUGGGACCUUAAAGAGGCCUAUUAAAGAGACUGUGAACAGGAUAUGGGCAGAGUUGCAGAAGACCCACAGGUGGUGGUGAGGAGACCAGCACCAGCCAGAGGAGGGGCCAAGGCCAGCCUGGGCUGGGGGGAAAGGAGAGGGGACAGCAGCCUGAGCCCAGCUGCAGGAGGCAGGGCAUCAGCCCCCACAGGUGUCCACAUCCUAAUCCCCGGAACCUGUAACUAUGUUACAUCCUGGAGGUCACAUUACACCUUCUGCCACAUCACACGGCAAGGGGAAAUGAGGGCUGCGGUGCAGUGAGGGUUGCUGGUCGGCUGGGCUUAAAAUGGGGAGGCUGUUCCGGAUUAUCUCCAAACAACCACCUGAAUAGUUGCCCCGGGCUUCUCCUGCUUUGCCACUGCAGAGCUUGGAGCACGUCUGACGCCCCUGCCUGUCCCCGCAGUCUCUGUCCUUGCUGUGUGCAUCCAGGUGGGCCCGA
Long non-coding RNA from Acinonyx jubatus (cheetah), 3207 nucleotides. RefSeq lists it as uncharacterized. The transcript is spliced from 3 exons. Lineage: Eukaryota; Metazoa; Chordata; Mammalia; Carnivora; Felidae. The record is from RefSeq and is a predicted model, not a curated record.